UCGCUCCUGGCACUGCCCAGGACAGGUCUGCUCUCCACAGUUUUCUGUGAAAUGGGUCUGAGUCACCAAAUGGGGCUAGUGGGGAAAAGAAGGGGAAAUGAUAGAAGGAGAAUCUUUAAAUCACUAUGAAGAAAAAGAUGGGUGUCAGGAAGGACAUGGAUGCAUGGAGGACAGAGAAAGAAAGAAUUACUGAAACAUUAUUGAGAAAGAUAAUCUGGAAAAACCUUUAUCCAUGGCACAAAAGAAGAGUGCUUUCAGGACCGAGUGUGGGUAAAUGGCCACAGUAUUGGAUGUCACAUCCACAUUCAAAUCCAAAUUAUACACCUGUUUUGUCAGCUUGGGUUAAACAAACCAAGAUGAUUGAACAAUCCCCUCUUGGUGAUGUGCUCAGGGUUUCUGUUGCUGAGACUGUCACCUGCUGGCCAGGGAGCAGCUCACCAGGAUCUCGGGAACAGCCUCAGAAACCGAUGGAUUAAAUACUCAGGUGACGCCUGGCUGUUUGAGGUCAGAAGCCUUUUCAUCUUCUUCAUGGAGCUCACCAUGAGGGAGAGGUUUAGGUGUUCCUAAUUCAAAGGUCUGCACCUUUCCCCCCCUGUCUUUGGUGCAGGAUGCCACUGCUGUCACACUUUGGGAGGCAAUGAAAGGCCAGAGACACUCACUUGUCAGGAUGCUUUUAUAGGAGCCACUGCCCUGCUGACAAGAGGCAGCUCAAAUGUGUUCCCUCCUGCCUCCUGGGCAGGACUUUGGGCCCUUUCUCUGCCUCCCCUGUGCUAUGGAAGGGCAGGUCGUCCUCACUGCAGCCAGCUGGAAAACUGGAGAGUCUGAGACUCACAGUGAGACAGCACUCAGUGCCACCAGACACAGCCAGACCAGUGGGGCUAUGGAUUAAAUCAUCAUUAGCAAAGCUACCUAGCAAGCACAGCUGCAGAAAUGUGGCCCUUUUCCUCCCCCUCCCUUUGGCCAGCUGAUGUUCCUCCCACAUGGUGCAGAGGGAUUUUGUUUUGUUCAGGUUCAGGCUGCAAAUCUGGCUGAUAUUGGAA
Long non-coding RNA from Catharus ustulatus (Swainson's thrush), 1040 nucleotides. RefSeq lists it as uncharacterized. Lineage: Eukaryota; Metazoa; Chordata; Aves; Passeriformes; Turdidae. The record is from RefSeq and is a predicted model, not a curated record. The transcript has 3 exons.